Molecule: long non-coding RNA, 574 nt
Filed under: Ictidomys tridecemlineatus (thirteen-lined ground squirrel)
Lineage: Eukaryota; Metazoa; Chordata; Mammalia; Rodentia; Sciuridae
Description: lncRNA (ENSSTOG00000032628.1)
Source: RNAcentral
UCCUAUUCUGCCUGUAGGGAGGACACUGCUUGAGGAAGCUCUCCACCGAAUUGUUCUAACUGUGUGGAUGUGCUCUGGGCCACCAAGAGGCAGGUAGAAGGGCGAAGUUCGAGAGGACUUGGGAGUCACGGGAGAUGGUUGAGGAAGGAGCCAGGAAAAGCAAGAUGGGCAAAGCCCAAAGAAAAACAUCCCAGUCUCCACACCUUUGCUCAGGAAAAGCCCAGGGAACUGGGCUCUCAUUUCUUUUUGCAACUUUCCUCUUGAGACCUCUGUGUGGUUCUUAUUGUUGACUUUGCCAUUGGUGCCUGCCGUGGAAGAUCAAGUGUUGCUUUUAGCACAAGGUAUCUUGACCUGGGGCUUGGAUUCAGCUCCACAGCACACAGAGAAAACCAGUACCAUUCAAGAUGGCAGAAGGAUUGAAUGGAGCGCAUCAGGUUUGAUCAGCUUCCAGUUGGUCUUAACUUUUGUGUACCCCUUCCUUGAGAGAAGCUCCUCAGGUAAGCAGCAGGUGUGUGGUGCUCCAGGGUCCUGUCUCCAUGCCUCCAGGGAAUACCAUUUGAAUGACUAUCAUCCC